Molecule: RNA transcript, 1100 nt
Organism: Monomorium pharaonis (pharaoh ant)
Lineage: Eukaryota; Metazoa; Arthropoda; Insecta; Hymenoptera; Formicidae
Exons: 4
Source: RefSeq, a predicted model, not a curated record
AAAUUAAUAUUUUAAAUUAUAGUUAAAUUAUAAAUAAUUUUCCUCUUAAGGUUGAAAACACGAUCAGAGAGAGAAAAAAGAUGAAUAUAAUACAAUUUGUUAAUGUAAAUUUGUUACUGAAGUCACCGACAAAUCUUUAAUCAAAAUCUUCCCAACGAUGAAUCGAUGAUUAGAAAAAAUGUAGAUUCGCGUCGGAAAGAUCGACGCCAAUGAAGUAUAAGUAAUUGUUGCGUCAGCUAUCGUGGCUCGACGCACGCGGCUACGGUGAUGAUUGGUCGUGGCUGCGGAGCGGGAAAUCCCCGUUGAAACCUGCUCGACCACGAGUUAUCCCACGUCCUACUGCGGUAUCUCAUAUUCGUUUCCUUCGUCGUUCUCCGUCGAGUAAAGACCUCGUGCUUUAGUCGUUCGGGAGAAACACGCGAUGAAGCAUCGUCGUUACCGCCGCCGUUGCUUGUCAAUACUGAGAGAUAACAUUGCGUCGUAUAACGAUUCCACAUACUAAGAAAAAAACAAUGAGUUUUCAAGCGGUAGUGACACAUUCCUGAAUAUUGCCGCGCACUUACUUAAUUCCUGCAUGUACAAUUAUCGCCACGCAAGUAUAAGUACUUGUAACGAGUGUUCUUGAUUCGCCGAUACAGCUCUCGAUAUUGUUGUAUGAUAAAAUUAAGUUUCGAGUGCGAGUGUUGUUGUCGCGUUAAACAUGGACUCAUUUAACACUUACGGUAGGAACGAUCUAUCAGAGCGAGAAAGGUCCAAGCGCGUUCGACGAUGCUGAGGCGCGAAGGGCGCUUUCUAAUCCUUCGCAGCAGAUAUUUUACGCAAGAAUAUUACGCCGGCAAGUUGGAAUCGAAGCCUUUGAUGCCGCUACAUCUGGGGAGAGUUCACUGUAUGGCCCUGGAGUGGAUGACUCCAUUCUGUUUCAGAUAAGUCCUGUACGAGUUGCAAUUGGCAACGUGGAGCACUUUUUUUCAACAUGGUCUUGCGACGAGGACAAUAUCUCCGCCAUUUUAAAAUAUUUUUAGUUCAAAUUUAUUCUGAAACAUGUUCUAAGAAUGUAUUUUAAAGUAAAGAAAACUAGGAUUAAUUACAUACAUUACGUU